This 119-nucleotide ribosomal RNA is filed under the name Pteropus alecto (black flying fox). Lineage: Eukaryota; Metazoa; Chordata; Mammalia; Chiroptera; Pteropodidae. The record is from RNAcentral.
GUCUACAGCUAUACUACCCUGAACAAGCCUGAUCUCGUCUGAUCUCGGAAGCUAAGUAGGGUCAGACCUGGUUAGUACCUGGAUGGGAGACCACCUAGGAAGACCAGGUGCUGUAGGCA